UCCUAGUAACGGCGAGUGAACGGAGAUUAGCCCAUCACCGAAGCCUGCGUGUAUUUGCAUGCUAGGCAAUGUGGUGUUAAAGCUUGUACCUGGGAUCGUGUUCCUACCCGAAGUCUAAAUCCGAUUGUGGCUUUGGAUUCAUUCCAUAGCGGGUGAAAGUCCCGUGCGGGUAGGACUAUUGCAAAUCACACGGUCCUCAGAUGUGCAUGCUUUCGAGUCGGAUUGCUUGAGAAUGCAGUCCAAAGUGGGUGGUAAACUCCAUCCAAGGCUAAAUACUGGCACGAGUCCGAUAGUAGACAAGUACCGUGAGGGAAAGUUGAAAAGUACUCUGAAGAGAGAGUAAAUAGUACGUGAAGCCGAUUGCAGGGAAGCUGGUGGAGUCAAGCUUCGUGCUUGAGGGAUUGAUGCUGGGAGCAGGUGUGUGAUUUGGAUGUGAGGAUGGACAACUUGGAAUAAGUUGGGCGUGUUCUGAAUGCGCUUCAAGUCAUUCUGGGUAGAGUGUUAUGAGCCUUCCUCACUUUCCUACUCUCAGUGUUGUAUUCCUCGCUGCACAGGCCACAGUCAAUGGGUGCAUGCGGUGUGAAGGCCUAACUGUGCUGCGGAGGGUGCAAGCUCUCCGUGUGCAGGAUGGCAGGUGCUGUCUUCGGGCCUUGUGUUCGUUGAUAGUUGUUGUGG
This 675-nucleotide ribosomal RNA is filed under the name Cichlidogyrus cubitus. Its description in RNAcentral is "eukaryotic LSU rRNA". It matches the Rfam family "Eukaryotic large subunit ribosomal RNA", at positions 78 to 632 of the family's 3401-position model. Lineage: Eukaryota; Metazoa; Platyhelminthes; Monogenea; Dactylogyridea; Ancyrocephalidae. The record is from RNAcentral.